AGGCCUAACACAUGCAAGUCGAACGGUAACAUGAGAGCUUGCUCUUGAUGACGAGUGGCGAACGGGUGCGUAACGCGUAUGCAAUCUGCCUGUAACUGAGGAAUAGCCCAGAGAAAUUUGGAUUAAUACCUCAUAAUAUUAUUUUGUGGCAUCAUUUAAUAAUUAAAACUCCGGUGGUUACAGAUGAGCAUGCGUUCUAUUAGCUUGUUGGUAAGGUAACGGCUUACCAAGGCAAUUAUAGAUAGGGGGCCUGAAAGGGUGAUCCCCCACACUGGUACUGAGACACGGACCAGACUCCUACGGGAGGCAGCAGUGAGGAAUAUUGCACAAUGGAGGAAACUCUGAUGCAGCCAUGCCGCGUGCAGGAUGACGGCCCUACGGGUUGUAAACUGCUUUUUUACAAGAAGAAACAUUGGUACGUGUACCAACUUGACGGUAUUGUAAGAAUAAGCACCGG
This 457-nucleotide ribosomal RNA is filed under the name uncultured Bacteroidota bacterium. RNAcentral's name for it is "bacterial SSU rRNA". It matches the Rfam family "Bacterial small subunit ribosomal RNA", at positions 44 to 496 of the family's 1533-position model. Lineage: Bacteria; Pseudomonadati; Bacteroidota. The record is from RNAcentral.